CACCGGCGGCUCGAGUGGUGGCCGCUAUUAUUGGGUCUAAAGCGUCCGUAGCCGGCUUGGCAAGUCCCCUGGGAAAUCUGGCGGCUUAACCGUCAGGCGUCCAGAGGAUACUGCCAGGCUUGGGACCGGGAGAGGUGAGAGGUACCUCAGGGGUAGGGGUGAAAUCUUGUGAUCCCUGAGGGACCACCAGUGGCGAAGGCGUCUCACUAGAACGGGUCCGACGGUCAGGGACGAAAGCUGGGGGCACGAACCGG
This 254-nucleotide ribosomal RNA is filed under the name uncultured microorganism. Its description in RNAcentral is "partial 16S ribosomal RNA". It matches the Rfam family "Archaeal small subunit ribosomal RNA", at positions 474 to 727 of the family's 1478-position model. The record is from RNAcentral.